UGGACGGUACAACGAGAAGCGAACCUGCGAAGGCAAGCGGAUCUCUUAAAGCCGUUCUCAGUUCGGACUGUAGGCUGCAACUCGCCUACACGAAGCUGGAAUCGCUAGUAAUCGCGGAUCAGCACGCCGCGGUGAAUACGUUCCCGGGCCUUGUACACACCGCCCGUCACACCAUGAGAGUCGGGAACACCCGAAGUCCGUAGUCUAACCGCAAGGGGGGCGCGGCCGAAGGUGGGUCCGGUAAUUGGGGUGAAGUCGUAACAAGGUACC
Molecule: ribosomal RNA, 270 nt
Filed under: uncultured bacterium
Lineage: Bacteria
Description: partial 16S ribosomal RNA
Rfam family: Bacterial small subunit ribosomal RNA
Source: RNAcentral